GCCCAUUUAGCUCAGUCGGUAGAGCGCACGGCUGUUAACCGUUAGGUCGUAGGUUCGAGUCCUACAAUGGGCGCCA
This 76-nucleotide transfer RNA is filed under the name Clostridium sp. RNAcentral's name for it is "tRNA-Asn". It matches the Rfam family "tRNA". Rfam says of the family: Transfer RNA (tRNA) molecules are approximately 80 nucleotides in length. Their secondary structure includes four short double-helical elements and three loops (D, anti-codon, and T loops). RNAcentral also lists the same sequence under 4 other names. Lineage: Bacteria; Bacillati; Bacillota; Clostridia; Eubacteriales; Clostridiaceae. The record is from RNAcentral.